Molecule: long non-coding RNA, 830 nt
Organism: Megalobrama amblycephala (Wuchang bream)
Lineage: Eukaryota; Metazoa; Chordata; Actinopteri; Cypriniformes; Xenocyprididae
Exons: 3
Source: RefSeq, a predicted model, not a curated record
GAUGUCUACUUCAUAAAGUGUAUGAAAAUAAUGGAAAUAUAUGGUUCAGAUCACUCAAACCAUAUAUUGAAAUGGAGGCGCCUUUAUAUGGUCACCAAUGGAGCUUGGUUGUCAUCUAGUGAAAAAGUGUGGUACUGCGCCCAAACAAAAUCUUACUGAAAGCUCAUUUUUUGAGAUAUCAACCUGAAAUCUGGUACACAACUUGUUCAGAUUUUUGGCUUUGAUUUCCUUGCAGCUUUAGAGUAAAACUUGUUUUGUAAAAUAUAUAUUUUAUAUAAAAUAUUAUAUUUUUACAUUUUACAUUUUCAUAAACUUAAACUUCUAUAACUUUUUUUCUGUUUCACUUACAUAAGUUAUUUCACAUCUACAAUAAUCGGCUUUAAAACAAGACCAGCCUUAUGUCUAUACUCCAAAGUAUUCUUGAAUUACAACCAUUUAAGUUUGGAUAGUGCAUUUUCUCGUCUAAAAAAAAAGUGGGGGUGACUUUAAAGGGUUAAAGUCUAUGUUGGAAUUGGUUCUUUACUUUCUGGUUUAUAAAAUAGUCAAAUCUAGACAGGGUGAAGUAAAAGGUUCUUUUCUUCCUCUCUUAAAGACACACAUACACACACACCAGUCGGAGGAAGCGGUGUAUCCAUGGAGCUCAGAUGCUUCUGUGCAGCUGAAUCCUAAUCUGAGGAGCCAAAAUCAUCAACUGCAUCAGAGAACCUGUUCCCGUCUGAACCGGAAAAGAGCUCUGGACAGUGCUGGAGUGGAUCAGUCUCCUCCACCGAAAAAGCUGUGCGUGGAUUGGGAUGAAUUAUGCCACAUGUUCACUGAAUUUUGUGUCAUUU